CGCACGCGGCAAUCUAGGAGGUGGUUUCGGGUGACGGAGUCCGUCGCCGGCUGGGCUUCGGUGAAUUCCUUUGUCUUGGUCGCUGGCCGCGGCGUGCGGCGUGCGCCGUGCGGAGGAGGUGCGCUGGCGGAGCUCUGUGUCUGUGCAUUUGCGGACAGAAAGUUGUGGAAGAAAUGGCAAUAAACGCCAGCGGUUACAGAGCCAGCGCGGCCCCAGCAGCAAGAGUGGUGCCACCAAGCUCCUUCCCCAUGACUCCACUCAGCAUCUCAGCAUCCAGCUGCCAGAGCUUUGAAAUGUGUCUCACCAGCUUCACUGUACCUGUUCAGAGCACCAGCAACAGCUGAGUGGUGCUGCCUCCUCCACCCCAGUUGGAGUCCCGGCCCCACGAGAACUUCCUCUGGGUUCAGA
This is a non-coding RNA of Leptonychotes weddellii (Weddell seal), 408 nucleotides long. The record is from RefSeq and is a predicted model, not a curated record. NCBI's taxonomy places the organism in Eukaryota, Metazoa, Chordata, Mammalia, Carnivora, Phocidae.